RNAcentral lists this RNase P RNA (414 nucleotides) under Desulfobacterales bacterium. Its description in RNAcentral is "partial RNase P RNA component class A". It matches the Rfam family "Bacterial RNase P class A". Rfam says of the family: Ribonuclease P (RNase P) is a ubiquitous endoribonuclease, found in archaea, bacteria and eukarya as well as chloroplasts and mitochondria. Its best characterised activity is the generation of mature 5'-ends of tRNAs by cleaving the 5'-leader elements of precursor-tRNAs. The record is from RNAcentral. Lineage: Bacteria; Pseudomonadati; Thermodesulfobacteriota; Desulfobacteria; Desulfobacterales.
GGUGGAACCCAAACGAUCGCUGGUACGCAGUGCGUACCGGAGGAAAGUCCGAACACCACAGGGCAGGGUGCUCCGUAACCCGGAGUCGCGGAAACGCGAAGGAAAGUGCAGCAGAGAGCAGACCGCCCCGCACUCACUUUUAUCGCCAGGCUUUUUCUCCCGGCAUAUAAGCGGCCUGGAGAUAAAAGUGAGUGCGGGGUAAGGGUGAAACGGUGCGGUAAGAGCGCACCAGUUCCCCGGGCGACCGGGGAAGAUAGGCAAACCCCACCCGGUGCAAGACCGAAUAGGGGAGCGCUUGAGGGUGGCCCGCCCGAGGCUCCCGGGUAGGUCGCUGGAGAUGCCGGCCAACCGGCAUCCGCAGAUGAAUGAUCGUUGCCCGCAACCGGGGCAACCCGGUGCGGGAACAGAAUUCGG